AUGCUGCGGCCCCCCAUUCCCCCCACCCCCGGGCCACCUUGUUACACUUUACAUCCUGAGGCAGCGCAGGUCCGAGCCCGACCCGCCUUAGUUCUGGCAAUUUUCACAUCACAUAUUUUGAAGCUCUGUUUUUUGAAAAGCAUUUUAUUAAAUCCAACACCUCCUCAUGAUAACACUCAACAACAAACAAAGAAAAGAAGGAACUUCCUCAACCUGGCAAAGGACAUCUUUGAAACAACCACAGUUAAUAUCAUCAUUAAUGCCAAAAAACUGAAAGCUUUUCAACUAAGAUCAGGAAUAAGACAAGGAUGUUCACUCUCACCACUUCUAUUCAACAUCUUGCUACAGGUCCUGGCCUGAAGUUUGUGGCUAUAAAUGCUUACAUUAUAAAGGAAGAUAGAUCUCAAAUCAGCAACUUAACCUUGUACCUCAAGGAACUGAAUUAUAAAGGAGGAAGUAAACCAUUUCUGUUGCAAACGACAUAAUUUUGCAUAUAGAAAAAACUAAGAAAUCCACAUAUGAAAAAUCAGAGCUGAUAAACAACUUUAUCAGGUGGCAGGAUAUCAGAUUAAUAUACAAAAAUUGGUUCUAUAUGUAUUUGCAGUGAAAAAUAUGAAAAAAAUUAAAAUUCUAUUUACAGUAACAUCAAAAAGAAUAAAAUAGAAAUAUAUAUAUAUAUAUAUAUAUAUAUAUAUAUUUAUUUAUUUAUUUAUUUAGAGACCAAGUCUCUCUCUGUCACCCAGGCUGGAGUGCAGUGGUGUAAUUUCGGCACACUGCAACCUCUGCCUCCUGGGUUCAAGUGAUUCUCCCGCCUCAGCCUCCCAAGUAGUUGGGACCGCAGGCACCCGUCACCACUCCAGGCUAAUUUUUUUAUUUUUAGCAGAAAUGGGGUUUUACCAUGUUGGCCAGGCAGGUCUCAAACCCCCAACCCCAAAUGAUCCAUCCACCUCUGCCUCCCAAAGUGCUGGAAUUACAGACAUGAGCCAAUGUGUCUGGCCUAGGAAUACAUUCAACAAGAAAAUACAAGGGCCAGGCGUAGUGGGUCACAUCUGUAAUCCCAGUACUUUGGGAGGCCAAGGCAGGUGGAUUGCUUAAGCCCAGGAGUUCAAGACCAGCUUGGGCAACAUGGUGAAACCCCUUCUCUACAAAAAAUACACGAAUCAACUGGGCAUGGUGACACGCCCCUGCAGUACAAGCUACUCAGGAGGCUGAGGCCGGAGGAUCACUUGAGCCCAGGAAUUCAGGGCUAUAGUGAGCUGUGAUCACGCCAAUGCACUCCAGCCUGGGAGACAGGGCGAGGUCCUGUCUCAAAAAAAAGAAAAAAGAAAGGCAAGGCUUACACAUUGAAAGGUAUAGAACAUCAUAAAUGAUGCCAGACAUGGUGGCUCACAUCUGUUAUUCCCAGCACCUUGGGAGGCUAAGGAGGGAGGAACCCUUGAGCCCUGGAGUUUGAGAAUAGCGUAGGCAACAUAGGAAGAUGCUGUCUCUACCAAAAAAAAAAAUAAUUCGCCGAGCAUAGCAAGCACUUGUAGUCCCAGCCACUGGGGAUGCUGAGGUGGGAGGAUCACUUGAGCCCAGGAGGUUGAGACCGCAGUGAACUCUGAUUGCACUAUUGUACUUCAGCCUGGGCAACAGACCAAGACCCUGUCUCAAAAAAAAAAAAAAAAAAAAAAAGAUGAAAUUUUUCAUGUAUUCUGAUAAUGAAAUUAUGAAAGAAAUUAAAACAGAUCUAAAUAAAUUGAAAUAUCACAGAUACAUGUAUCAGAAAAAUGGAUAUUGUUACAAUGGCAGUACCACCCAGAAUCUCACUGUCUUGUUUACAAAAAUUUAUGUCCUGAUCAUGAAAUCCAUAUGGAAAUAAAAGAGAUACAGAAUAGCUUUUAAAAAAUCUUCAGGAAAGCAAUACUUAAAUACUCUAAUUUUAACACUUAUUACAAACCAAGACUUAAUGGGAUGCAGCAAAAGCAAUGCUGAGGGAAUGAAUUUUAUAGCUAUAAAUGCUUACAUUAUAAAGGAAAAUAGAUCUCAAACCAACAACUUUGUACCUCAAGGAACUGAAUUUAAGAGGGAAAUAAAUGUUCUUACUUUUCAGGUAGACAUUUACCUUUUCUGAUGUUUUAUUUUCUUGAAGAGAAUAACUACCUUCAUUAUUUAUUUCUGAACAGUUCUGCUGAUAACAAAUCAUCUUACUUUUCCUUUUUCUGAAAAUGACGUUAUUUCACCUUCAUUCCCAAAUGACAUUUUUGGUGAAGAUGAAAUUCAAGGUUGACUGUCUUUUUUUUUUUUCUUUUUAGCCCUCUAAAUGUCUUGUUCACUUUCUUCUGGCCUCCACAGUUUCUGCUGAGCAAUAUGUAAUCAUUUGAAUCACUGUUCUUCUGAAUAUAAUAUGUCAUUUUUCUUUUUCAUUUUUCUUUCUUUUAAAUUAUACUUUAAGUUCUAGGGUACAUGUGCACAACAUACAGGUUUGUUACAUACAUAUACAUAUGCCAUAUUGGUGUGCUGCAACCAUUAACUCAUCAUUUACAAUAGGUAUAUCUCUUAAUGCUAUCCCUCCCCCCAUCCCCUACCCCACAACAAACCCCAGUGUGUGAUAUUCCCCUUCCUGUGUCCAAGUGUUCUCCUUGUUCAAUUCCCACCUAUGAGUGAGAACAUGCGGUGUUUGGUUUUCUGUUCUUGUGACAGUUUGCUGAGAAUGAUGGUUUCCAGCUUCCUACAUGUCCCUACAAAGGAAAUGAACUCAUCCUUUUUUAUGGCUGCAUAAUAUUCCAUGGUGUAUAUGUGACACAUUUUCUUAAUCCAGUCUAUCAUUGAUGGAUAUUUGGGUUGGUUCCAAGUCUUUACUAUUGUGAAUAGUGCUGCAAUAAACAUAUGUGUGCAUGUGUCUUUAUAGCAGCAUGAUUUAUAAUCCUGUGGGUAUAUUCCCAAUAAUGUGAUGGCUGGGUCAAAUGAUAUUUCUAGUUCUAGAUCCUUGAGGAAUAGCCACACUGUCUUCCACAAUGGUUCAACUAGUUUACAGUCCCACCAACAGUGUAAAAGUGUUCCUAGUUCUCCACAUCCUCUCCAGCACCUGUUGUUUCCUGACUUUUUUAUUAUUAUUAUUAUUAACCUUUAUGUUCUAGGGUACAAUGAUGGCCAUUCGAACUGGUGUGAGAUGGUAUCUCACUGUGGUUUUGAUUUGCAUUUCUCUGAUGGCAAGUAAUGAUGAGCAUUUUUUCAUGUGCCUGUUGGCUGCAUAGAUGUCUUCUUUUGAGAAGUGUCUGUUUGUAUCCUUUGCCCACUUUUCGAUGGGGUUG
RNAcentral lists this long non-coding RNA (3293 nucleotides) under Papio anubis (olive baboon). RNAcentral describes it as "lncRNA (ENSPANG00000049997.1)". Lineage: Eukaryota; Metazoa; Chordata; Mammalia; Primates; Cercopithecidae. The record is from RNAcentral.